AUGAAGCAAAAGAUUGUCAUCCAAUUGAGCAUGUCGUGCGACAAGAGCAGGUCCAAAGCCCUCACCGUGGCCGCCAGAGCAGCCGGGGUGACAUCCAUGGGGAUAACCGGCGACGCGAGGGACCAGCUGGAGGUGGUCGGCGACGGCGUCGACCCGGUGUGCCUCGUCAGCUGCCUCCGCAAGAAGCUCGGCCACGCCCAAAUCAUCAAGGUGGAGGAAGUGAAGAAGCCGGAGGAGAAGAAGAAGGAGGACCCGAAGCCGCCGGCGCCCAUGCCCGUGCCCGUGCACCCGCCGCCGUACUUCUACCCGCCCAGCUCCUACUACCCCCACCAGUACCCGCCGCACUUCUGCGACGAGCAGCCCGGCAACUGCCGGACCAUGUAA
This 384-nucleotide ribosomal RNA is filed under the name Triticum aestivum (bread wheat). RNAcentral's name for it is "partial small subunit ribosomal RNA". Lineage: Eukaryota; Viridiplantae; Streptophyta; Magnoliopsida; Poales; Poaceae. The record is from RNAcentral.